This 253-nucleotide ribosomal RNA is filed under the name uncultured bacterium. Its description in RNAcentral is "partial 16S ribosomal RNA". It matches the Rfam family "Bacterial small subunit ribosomal RNA", at positions 524 to 776 of the family's 1533-position model. The record is from RNAcentral.
UACAGAGGUCUCAAGCGUUGUUCGGAUUCAUUGGGCGUAAAGGGUGCGUAGGUGGCGCUGUAAGUCGGGGGUGAAAGCCCACGGCUCAACCGUGGAGGGUCAUUGGAAACUGGGGAACUUGAGUGCAGGAGAGAAGAGUGGAAUUCCACGUGUAGCGGUGAAAUGCGUAGAGAUGUGGAGGAACACCAGUGGCGAAGGCGACUCUUUGGCCUGUAACUGACACUGAGGCGCGAAAGCGUGGGGAGCAAACAGG